RNAcentral lists this unclassified non-coding RNA (2969 nucleotides) under Leishmania donovani. RNAcentral describes it as "gene:LdHU3.19.0310(CDS-product:Sarcalumenin_putat ive)". The record is from RNAcentral. Lineage: Eukaryota; Euglenozoa; Kinetoplastea; Trypanosomatida; Trypanosomatidae.
CACAUCCUCCAUCCUUCCACCUGCGCCCCGGCCGUGUGCGGCGGUGUGCCUUUGUACAGCCGAUCAAUGCAUGCCGUCAUGCGUGUAUCUUGAGCAUUUGCUUGCCUUUGCUUCUCUGGCCAGCCCUUUGCUUUUCUUUGCUUGGGCGCAUCUUCUUUCUCUGCUCUGGUGGUGCCGCCACGUGGUGGUUUGCUUGCUUCGCUUGCAAGGCUGCUUUGCCGUUCUCUCUCUGUGUGCGCGUGUGCGACGCCGUCGCCGUCUCCAUCCCCAUCGUCCCCGUCGGCGCCGUCUCGUGCUGAUCGCUGUUGCGUGCGUGAGAGCGGACGUGUGCAAAGCGGGGAAGGGUGAGUUCAACGGCGUCAUCUCUCGCAGCGAGUCUUCGUCCCUCUUCCUCUUCCUCUUCUUGUCUGGUGCAUCUUUUUUUUUUUCGCGUUGCCGAUGUCCAUCUCGGGUGCGGCUCCCCCGGAGCCUCUGUGUGGGAGGGAGUCGGGCGGCAAUGUACCAGGCAGUAUGGAGGCGCUCAUCAAGAAGCUUCACCCUCUCUACACUCAGCGCGUGCAGCCGCUAGAGGAGAUGUACAGCUUCGACGUCUUCCGCCCCAGCUGGUAUGAGGAGACAAUCCUCAACGAACGCCCCUUCAUUUCGCUGUUUGGUCCGUGGUCGGCUGGCAAGACCACCUUCAUCAACUACCUCUUGCAGAGCAACCACUUGUGGACUGGGCCGCAGCCGACAACGGCAGAGUUCACGGUGGUGAUGUACGGCAAAGAACCGGGCCCGGUUGCCGGCCAGGCGCUGGCCAACUCGAAGCAUCUGCCGUUCAAGGGGCUUCUCGAUUUUGGCGAGUCCUUCAUCAGCAACCUUAAAGGCUUCCAGGCGCCCCAUGCACUCCUGGAGCGCGUCACGCUCAUCGACACUCCUGGCGUGCUGGAGAGCUCUAAGGACAUUCACCAGCGCAAAUACGACUACGUGAACGUGUGCCGCUGGUUUGCGGAGCGAAGCGACUUGAUCUUCGUCUUUUUCGACCCCAGCAAGCUGGACGCCGGCGGGGAGCUUCGCCAGCUCUUUCAAACCUCCUUCAAGGGGAUUGAGAAUCGUCUCCGUCUCGUAUUGAACAAGGCUGACACCAUCUCCACCCAGGAGCUCAUGCGGGUCUAUGGCAGUUUGUUCUGGAACUUAUCCAACUUCAUCAACACAACGGAGCCGCCGCGAGUCUACGUUGGCAGCUUUUGGGAUAAGCCGUACAGCCCAAACUCCUUCUCUCGUCUCUUCGCUGAGGAGAAGUUAGACCUGCUGCAUGAGUUGCUCGACGUCAUCCCGCAACAGGCGAGGGACAAGAAGAUCGCGUCGCUCAUUCGGCGAGCCAAGGAGGUGCUCGUGCACGCCGCCAUCAUUGGUGGCAUCCGGGCCGACCUGCCAGUUCUCUUCGGCAGGUCCAAGGCGAAGAAAAAGGCCGCGGAGCAGCUGCCAAGGCGCUACGAACUCAUCGGCGCUCGCUACAAGAUGAACCACCGCGACUUUCCUCCUGUGCAGGCGUAUCGGUCUUUUCUGGAGCGCUUCGACGUCGCGAAGUUCCCACCGCUGCAGAAAGCGGAGAAGGCUGGUCUCAUCCGUGGCAUUCAAGAGCUGAUUGACACGAUCCUGCCAUCCAUGCUGCGGCCAGUGUGCAACACCCGAGCUGCAAACCCGUUUGAGGAGGAUAAGCAGACGGGCUUGCUGAGCAUGUACCGCGAUCACGUGUUCUUGCAGCGCGAUGGUCGGUCUGGCAUGCAGGGGGGCACUGACAAGGUCGCCGCCACCAUGGGUGAGGGGAUGCGCGACUCGGCGACCACGGGUCUGUCUUCCAGUGUUGCCGCCGCCCCCGCAUCCGGCCCGUCGUCUCUACUUGGCCCCGGCACCGCAGUUACAGCACCUUCUGCGUCGCCAUCCUUCACAGAGUCGCCUUCCCUCGCGAUGGCUGCUUCUUCCACGGCUGCCGCCGCUCCGUCGCCGCCGCCGCCGCCAUCAUCAGCCGCGGCGACGUCGUCGCCAGCUGACAUGCAAGCCAUGAUGGCGAUAAUGCAGCAGAUGGUCGCAUAUCGGCAGCAGCAACAACAGCAAGACCGACAGAGCAGCAGUGCACCUGCGACCGUCAACUCACACGGGACACUAUCCUCAUCGUCCCCACAGACAUCGGGAAAUCCUGUUGAGUCCUCCGUUCCGGUGACCCCGCAAGAGUCGGACCUCAACAGCGAACCGUGCCCACCUACCGUGGUGCCUCAACCCGGCCUGUCCAACAACUGCGCUACCCAGGUUAAUGCAUGGGCUGGCGAGGACGUGUCAAAAUCGCAACACUGAACCGAGCGCUGUGCUUCCUGCGUAUCACAAGCUUGUCUCUCCCUAUUCUCAUUCUCGGCCAACAAGGAGGAUCACUGAUCUGCCGCUGUGGGCGCGUCUAACUUCUUCUUCCCUCUCUUCCUUCCUUUGCGCGUCUUCUUGUGUGCGGGUGUGCUCGCGGUCUCUCCGUGGUCUCCUCAUGCUCACCCAUGACGACACCACCUUGCUCAGUGUAUGAUGGUGCAUGCCGUGUGGUAACGGCUCUUGGGGGAUGGCAGGCGGGGUCAGAGUUUGGCUCCGCCACCCCUUCCUCCGCUCCUGUCUUUACGCGACCUCACUAUCCCCUUUCUCCGUGGCGCUCCCCCGUUCGCUAGUCUCUCCCUCAACCGUUGCUUUUUUUUUUCUGUGCGCUGCCGCCUGGUCAUGAAGACCUCGAAUGGUGCGGCCAGGAGUUGGAGAGCGUUUGUCCACUGCCCUCGCUUUAUGAGGUAGGGCGCCAUCAGCGCAAGGCCCACCCCGCACUCCUGACGCACACAAAUCGGAAGGGACUGAGGAGGGGCGGGGGGGCAACGAAGGGAGACGUUGAUGCUGCACGUGUACCUAAAAGAGACGCCCUGGCCAUCGCUGAGAUGGGGUAGCGGGGGUGCGGACACACG